Molecule: ribosomal RNA, 427 nt
Filed under: uncultured bacterium
Lineage: Bacteria
Description: bacterial SSU rRNA
Rfam family: Bacterial small subunit ribosomal RNA
Source: RNAcentral
UGAGGAAUAUUGGACAAUGGGCGCAAGCCUGAUCCAGCAAUGCCGCGUGCAGGAUGAAGGCCUUCGGGUUGUAAACUGCUUUUGUACGGAGCGAAAAGGUCUGCCCUAAUACGGUGGGCUCAUGACGGUACCGUAAGAAUAAGCACCGGCUAACUACGUGCCAGCAGCCGCGGUAAUACGUAGGGUGCGAGCGUUAAUCGGAAUUACUGGGCGUAAAGCGUGCGCAGGCGGUUAUAUAAGACAGAUGUGAAGUCCCCGGGCUCAACCUGGGACCUGCAUUUGUGACUGUAUAGCUAGAGUACGGUAGAGGGGGAUGGAAUUCCGCGUGUAGCAGUGAAAUGCGUAGAUAUGCGGAGGAACACCGAUGGCGAAGGCAAUCCCCUGGACCUGUACUGACGCUCAUGCACGAAAGCGUGGGGAGCAAACA